This 82-nucleotide transfer RNA is filed under the name human gut metagenome. It matches the Rfam family "tRNA". Rfam says of the family: Transfer RNA (tRNA) molecules are approximately 80 nucleotides in length. Their secondary structure includes four short double-helical elements and three loops (D, anti-codon, and T loops). Further hydrogen bonds mediate the characteristic L-shaped molecular structure. tRNAs have two regions of fundamental functional importance: the anti-codon, which is responsible for specific mRNA codon recognition, and the 3' end, to which the tRNAs corresponding amino acid is attached (by aminoacyl-tRNA synthetases). tRNAs cope with the degeneracy of the genetic code in two manners: having more than one tRNA (with a specific anti-codon) for a particular amino acid; and 'wobble' base-pairing, i.e. permitting non-standard base-pairing at the 3rd anti-codon position. The record is from RNAcentral.
GAAGUAUGGCUGAGUGGUCAAAAGCGACACACUGCUAACGUGUUGAACCGACAGGUUCCGGAGGUUCGAAUCCCCCCGCUUC